This 347-nucleotide ribosomal RNA is filed under the name uncultured eukaryote. RNAcentral's name for it is "SSU rRNA". It matches the Rfam family "Eukaryotic small subunit ribosomal RNA", at positions 594 to 945 of the family's 1831-position model. The record is from RNAcentral.
AUAGCGUAUAUUAAAGUUGUUGCAGUUAAAAAGCUCGUAGUUGAAUUUUGGACCUGGCUGGGUGGUCUUGCCGAAAGGGAAGCACUGCUCUGGUCGGGUCUUUCCUUCUGGAGAACCAGCGUGCUCUUAACUGGGUGCGCUGGGGAUCCAGGACUUUUACUUUGAAAAAAUUAGAGUGUUUAAAGCAGGCCUACGCUUGAAUACAUUAGCAUGGAAUAAUAGAAUAGGACUUUGGUUCUAUUUUGUUGGUUUCUAGGACCGAAGUAAUGAUUAAUAGGGAUAGUUGGGGGCAUUAGUAUUUAAUUGUCAGAGGUGAAAUUCUUAGAUUUAUGAAAGACUAACUUCUG